RNAcentral lists this microRNA precursor (89 nucleotides) under Branchiostoma floridae (Florida lancelet). RNAcentral's name for it is "mir-2060 microRNA precursor family". It matches the Rfam family "mir-2060 microRNA precursor family". The record is from Rfam by way of RNAcentral. Lineage: Eukaryota; Metazoa; Chordata; Leptocardii; Amphioxiformes; Branchiostomatidae.
ACUGUGUGUGGAUGGUGUUCAGCAUUAAGGACAGGUGUGUUAAGCUGUGUGUGGAUGGCGUUCAGCAUUAAGGACGUAUGUGUUUCACU